RNAcentral lists this long non-coding RNA (251 nucleotides) under Setaria italica (foxtail millet). RNAcentral's name for it is "long non-coding RNA (SITA_LNC001304)". The record is from RNAcentral. Lineage: Eukaryota; Viridiplantae; Streptophyta; Magnoliopsida; Poales; Poaceae.
AAGGCUUAAGGGUUCGUGGGGAAUUUUGAGGUCGCCAUCAUAUUUUCCUAUAAAGACUCAAUGCCGAAUAAUAAUGGCUUGUGCCCUUUUGCACAACUGUUGAUCCAAUGGAAAUGGAGGAGGAUAACUCAUCAGGGGAAUCAUCAGGGGAAAUUACAGAGGGGGAAUGAGUGAACUAGAAUUUAUCACGUGUGUCGACAUCUAAUGAGUGGAGUAGUUUUCGAGAUGUUCUCGCUCAAGGCAUGUAUAAU